CGGAGGAAAAGAAACCAACAGGGAUUGCCUUAGUAACGGCGAGUGAAGCGGCAAAAGCUCAAAUUUGAAAUCUGGCACCUUCGGUGUCCGAGUUGUAAUUUGAAGAAGGUAACUUUGGAGUUGGCUCUUGUCUAUGUUCCUUGGAACAGGACGUCACAGAGGGUGAGAAUCCCGUGCGAUGAGAUGCCCAAUUCUAUGUAAAGUGCUUUCGAAGAGUCGAGUUGUUUGGGAAUGCAGCUCUAAGUGGGUGGUAAAUUCCAUCUAAAGCUAAAUAUUGGCGAGAGACCGAUAGCGAACAAGUACAGUGAUGGAAAGAUGAAAAGAACUUUGAAAAGAGAGUGAAAAAGUACGUGAAAUUGUUGAAAGGGAAGGGCUUGAGAUCAGACUUGGUAUUUUGCGAUCCUUUCCUUCUUGGUUGGGUUCCUCGCAGCUUACUGGGCCAGCAUCGGUUUGGAUGGUAGGAUAAUGACUAAGGAAUGUGGCUCUACUUCGGUG
This 495-nucleotide ribosomal RNA is filed under the name Debaryomyces hansenii. RNAcentral's name for it is "LSU rRNA". It matches the Rfam family "Eukaryotic large subunit ribosomal RNA", at positions 51 to 551 of the family's 3401-position model. The record is from RNAcentral. Lineage: Eukaryota; Fungi; Ascomycota; Pichiomycetes; Serinales; Debaryomycetaceae.